GACUGCGUAGUUCAACGGAUAGAAUAGGAGUUUCCUAAACUCUAGAUAUGGCCGGGCGGCCGGUGCCGGCCGGGGUCGCGAUCGACCGAUUCCCGUCGCGGUCA
Molecule: transfer RNA, 104 nt
Filed under: Dyadobacter aurulentus
Lineage: Bacteria; Pseudomonadati; Bacteroidota; Cytophagia; Cytophagales; Spirosomataceae
Description: Dyadobacter sp. UC 10 tRNA-Arg
Rfam family: tRNA
About the family: Transfer RNA (tRNA) molecules are approximately 80 nucleotides in length.
Source: RNAcentral